CGCCGCGCCGCCCGCGCAGUUCCACAGUUCCAGGAACCAAAUGGUGAUAAACUAGGAAUGGAGAGAGGGCUUGCUGCUGUCUGAGAGCUCAGGUACAGGUCAUGGAAGAUGGAUGAGAGGACAUUCGCCUGGGGCUUUUGAGGAAUUCUUUGAUUCCCUGCCAUCCUUGAGUUGGGUGAGGACAGAGGUGGCUUCUUGCAUCCUUCUUCCAAGGCCAGGUGAGGAGCUGGACUCUGAUCACAUGAGGUCUUUUAUUUGGGGCGGCUCUGCUCUACUCCCCUCUGCCUUGGCAGCUGGCUGAACAGACACAGUGACAGCCACUCAUUCAAUGCAUUGUUUAUUGAGUACUAACUAGCUUUGGGCCCAGGCUCUGGGUUAGCAGCAUGCGUGAAACAA
Molecule: long non-coding RNA, 396 nt
Filed under: Homo sapiens (human)
Lineage: Eukaryota; Metazoa; Chordata; Mammalia; Primates; Hominidae
Description: HSALNT0275034
Source: RNAcentral